Molecule: ribosomal RNA, 253 nt
Filed under: uncultured bacterium
Lineage: Bacteria
Description: partial 16S ribosomal RNA
Rfam family: Bacterial small subunit ribosomal RNA
Source: RNAcentral
UACGAAGGGGGCUAGCGUUGCUCGGAAUCACUGGGCGUAAAGCGCACGUAGGCGGAUCUUUAAGUCAGGGGUGAAAUCCUGGAGCUCAACUCCAGAACUGCCUUUGAUACUGGGGAUCUCGAGUCCGGGAGAGGUGAGUGGAAUUCCUAGUGUAGAGGUGAAAUUCGUAGAUAUUAGGAAGGACACCGGUGGCGAAGGCGGAUCUCUGGGCCUGUCCUGACGCUGAGGCGCGAAAGCUAGGGGAGCGAACAGG